UACGAAGGGGGCUAGCGUUGUUCGGAAUUACUGGGCGUAAAGCGCGCGCAGGCGGUUCUCCAAGUCAGUGGUGAAAGCCCGGAGCUCAACUCCGGAAUUGCCAUUGAAACUGUUGAACUCGAGGACGAGAGAGGUGAGUGGAAUUCCCAGUGUAGAGGUGAAAUUCGUAGAUAUUGGGAAGAACACCGGUGGCGAAGGCGGCUCACUGGCUCGUUUCUGACGCUCAGGCGCGACAGCGUGGGGAUCAAACAGG
This 253-nucleotide ribosomal RNA is filed under the name uncultured bacterium. Its description in RNAcentral is "partial 16S ribosomal RNA". It matches the Rfam family "Bacterial small subunit ribosomal RNA", at positions 524 to 776 of the family's 1533-position model. The record is from RNAcentral.